GAUUGGUGAUGGGGUGGACACGGGACCGAAGCUGAGCCAAUCAAAGUCCUUCCCUUUGAAACAGGACUGGAUAGAGGAAAACUUACUGGCAUCAUCACAAAACGGAAAGACGGUAAGCCUGCACCUGCCAGAGGUCGUGAUCCCAGCGUCCCGGGAACAGUCUAAGGAGGAGCCAACAAAUCCCCCUUCCUGAUUUCACCUGGUUUGAGCUGGGUUUCUGUCACUUGCGACCAAAAAAUCCCGACUGAUACACCUCAGCAUGAACGUACCUCGGCAGGAUUUGAGAGUUUUUGAGAUAAUGGGGGAAAUUUGAACACAGUCUGGAUAUUAUGUGACGUUAAGACAUUAUUAUUGCUUUACUUAAGCGUGAUAGUGGUAUUAUGGUUAUUUUAAAAAAUAUUUAUCUGUUAAGAAUACAUACUGAAGUAUUUCGGGGUGAAAUGAUUCAGUGUCUAGGAUUUGCUUUAAAAUAUCCCAGCAUCUGUGUCCCCCACUACCCCUAUAAAAGAGGGUAAGAUUUAUGAAAAAAGAAGGUCAGAUUGAUGAUAAUUAUAGAAGCUGGGAGAGGGUGUGUGGGAGUUUCUUAUCCUAUUCUCAAGUUUGAAAUAAUUCCAUUAAUGAAAAGUGAAAAAUAAAUAAGAAAAAUGACUAAGAAAGAAAGGGAAGGAAAGCUCUUCCUCGGAGAGGAAGCAAUGGUUUAGGAUUGAUGGGAAAGGAGAAGAAAGCAGAACAGCUCAUUCGUUCACUCAUUCAUCGAAUUCGACCCCCGCCGUGGGCUGGCGCUGAGCCCUGUGCUGGACACACGGGAAAACAGGACGUUGGUCGCCCCGCGCUCAGGGGGCUCCCGGCCGAGCAGAGACCAGGAGUAAAUUAUGCCGGGUUUGUGCAGUUCACAGAAGGCCGGGCACCGUGAGGACAGAAGCGGUUUUUCUCCAUCCCGGCCGGUUUGAAAGGGAAGGGCUUUGAUUGGCCCGGCCUCUGUCCAGUGCCCACCCGACCACCAAUCGCUGUGUCCAGGGGGCGAGGCCGGAGGCCACCGCGGGCUGAGUAGACCUGGAUGAAUCCCGCCGCGGGAGGCCCCUGGCCGGUUUGCAGGGAGCGGUGUGCGCUGGAAGGAAGAGGGACCUGGAGGCGAGGGACAGAACAGCCUCUGCCGGGGCCUUUGCCUUCGUGGAAAGAGGAAAGCCAUGUUACUCGGGGAUCAUCAUAGCUCUCAGAUUCCGAAAGCUUACGGUAUUAAGCGCUUCGUGUACAUCAUUUCGCGUGAUCCUCCAAACGCAGCUCUUUAAGGCAGAGACUGACCUUAUCCCCACUUUACAUUUGGAGAAACCGAGGCACAGAGCAGUUAAGCAGCUGCAGUGUUUGCAUCUGGUCACUGGAUUUUCCACGGCCGAGCGCCUGGUCUCUGCCGUCCACUGCCGCACAGAGGCAGCUGUGCAGGGGCCAGAUGUGUCCAGAUGGUCUCAUCAAGAUUUCUACCCUCAACUUGCUUAAAUCCUUCUUCAAGAAAAAGUGUCCUUGACAAAUAAGCAGAAGGAGGGGCGAGGGAGGGGGCAGGAGGGUGUGCAGACGAGGGUCACCCAACCCACAGCCACCGUGUGCAUUUUUGAUGCCCGGAAAAUUCCCGGAACUGGCCAGAGCUGCUGGGUGGAGAAGUGGGCAGUGGCCGCACGGUGCAGGGGCUGUGCCAGCUUCUGGACAGAGAAGCUACAACCCCUUCCCCUCCACCUUUUCCUCAGGGGGGCUCCUGACAGAGGCAGAGGACGUGGACACGGGGGGCCCGGAAAUGCCCCCUGUCCGGGGCUCAGGUCUGCUUCCUUGGGUCAUGGGACCGUGGCUGCUUCCCCUGUGGCAGCGGCACGCGACUGAGGCUGAAGCUUUCCUGCAGGCUUGCCCUUCCUCCCCCGGACUUCCUGGUCUGCCCAGGGAGAGUCCAGAGAGAGGAGCUGCGAAGAGAGGAAAGGGGCUGGGCGUAACAUCGCACGUGUGGCUGCGCUUGCUAGUGCAGCGACAACAGUGCCGUGUGGUGCACGCGGGGGCUCUGCAGCCAAAAAUGCCUGGACCCCGACUCGGCCUUGCAGCUUUCUAGCUGUGUGAUCUUGGCGGGGUUAAACAACCUCUCUUGACUCCAAUCUCUCUGCAAAAUGGAAGGAAUACUGGUGCAUCUGUCACAGGGGUGUCAUGAGGAUGAAUAAGCUAGUGCAUCAAACACACCGGCAGCAGCACCUGGCUGGAGUAAGUACUCAGUAAAAGAUCCUGCUACUCUCAGUACCCAGGUGAGUUCACGUUUCAGCACUAAGCCCAGGGGGCCCCAGAGGUGCAGUAACCACUUAAGGAAUGAAUGAAUGAAUGAAUGAAUGAAUGAGCUAAUUAAUCAACGUUUUCUGAAUUAAACUGCUUGUUCAUUUAUUCAAAAGCACGUUCAAUUCCAACGCUUGCUCAGAUAGAUGAGAUCUCAUACCAAGUAUGAAUCCUUGGGAACAGCUUAAGUUUCUCUGGUUUGCUCCGAAACCAAAACACAGGUGAUGGUAAGGCCUUAUGAGUGCUAAUUGUGGUAGACAGAAUUCUAAGAUGGCCCCAAGAUUCUCUCCCCUGUGGCACAUGUCCUGUGUAACCGCCUUGCCCUGAGUGUGGGCAGGACCUGUGAAUAAGACGGGAUGUUGCCCCGUGAUUAUGUUACGUUAUAGGGCAAAGGUGAGGGUAUUUUGCAGAUGUAAUAAGGUCUUGGAUCAGUUGACUGAGUACAUCAAAAGGAGGUCGUCCUGAGUGGGCCUGACCUAAUCAGGUGAGCCUUUUAAAAGAGGCUCCAGAGAUCAGGGACAGAAGCGGUCAGAGAUUCCCAGCAGCAGCGCACUUCUGCUGUCCUGGAAGGAGCAGCCACCCUGAGUCCCCCAGCUGCAAAGAAAUGAAUUUUGCCAACAAGCGCGUGAGCUCGGGAGAGGGCCCCAAGCCCCCAGAGAAAGCCCAGCCCCAGCCAACACCUCGAUGGUGCCCCUGGGAGGCUCUGAGCAGAGGGCAGUGCAGCGCGGCACCUGGAAUCCUGAGCCCAAACACAGUGAGACCAUAAACGCGAGAGAAUAAUCGGGCGCUGUCUUAAACCUCUAGGUUUCUGUGGUAGUUUGUCAGGCAGCGAUGGAAAACGAACACACCACCCGUCUCUGCCAUUUUUCAAGGCUCACUCUGCCAAGCGUGGUAUGCUAAUGUUCUCGACCACUGGAGAAGGUUCCGAUGACAUCUGAGGCCUGGAGAAGUCACACAAGUUGCCCACGGCUAUUUGGCAGUGGAGGCAAAAUUUAAACCCAGGUGGUCUGCCACCAGGGCCCCCUCUCAGUUCCUGAGGCCGGCAAUAUUUUAAAAUAAAUAUGAAAACAUAGGCGUGAAAAGUUCUGAAAGGGUGCGCGUGCGCAUGCUGAGAUGAGAGGGGAUGGUUGGCUUCUGUGCUUUUCCUACAAUUUCUCAUUUCUUUUACAGUGAAUAUUAUCUUUUUUAACAGUCAGGUACAAAUACUUGGCAGCCAUGGUGACAAUCUCUGAGUGGUGGGGUUACAGGCCACUUUUUUUAUUUCAUUCUUUUAUAUUAUCUCAAUUCUCUAUGACAAUCUCAAUUGUUCACAAGAAAUGUGUGGCUGGUGCAAUUUUGAAAAUGUGCACGCCAGAGAAGACAAGUGAAUGCAUUUCAGAAUGCGAAAGCAGAAGGGGAAAAGGUGACAGUGCGGGGGGCCUGGCCCCAGACACUUGGCAGAAAGAGGGCUGGGGGCUGGAGCUUGAGCAAAGCUAGGGUCUCCUUCUAACAUGAAAUGUGGCUUCAGACCUUCCAGAAGAGGUGACUGUCUCACUGGCCCACCAACUGGGCUUUUGGUAAACAUUUGUAGCUACUUCUGCAAAUGUUGUCACCUGAAACUUUGUUAUUUUAAUUGGUAGCUCUUUCUGUGGGCUCCAGCUUGGAGAACAAAAGCUGUUCAGAAAUCGGGGCUGCAGGCAACUUUUCUCCUUGAAGGGAAAGUGGGGAAAGGUCUGUCUGUUCUCCAGCCCCAGCAAGCACGCUCCAGAGAGAGCUGACAUGUUGGUUUAACACCAACCAUUAAUUACUGAGUGCUUAUGGGCCCCAAGCUCUGUGCUCGGCCUUUCCGUGGAGUCUCUCAUUUGAUCCUCCCACAUCUGUACGAAGGGAGUCCUAGCACUGUUCCCAUUUCACAGAUGAGAAAGUGGAGGCUUAAGGAGAUCAAGUAAUAAUAAUAAUAAUACCAUAUUUCAUUAAAUCCCAGACACUCUAUAAUUUUAUGUGACACUAAGAAAAAAAUACCCCAGCUAUCAUUGUAAGACAGUAUUGACUAUAAGAUGAAUCCUGAUUCUAGAGACAUUAAAAUAUGCAUCUAAAAAACCUACGGCUAAAUGCAACGUGGUAUCUUGGGUUGGAUUCCAGAAUAGGAAUGAAGGACAUUCAUGGAAAAACUGGUGAAAUCCAAAAAUUCAUAGAACUGUACACCUAAAAAGGGUAGAUUUUAUUCUAUGUAAAUUAUUCCUCAAUAAACCUGACUUUUAAAAAAAAUGUGAGCCCCACGUAAGAUCUGGCUUAUAAUUGUGUGUUAUUUGGCCCAAGUAAUUGUUUCUUGAGUAAAUUUGAAUUCAUUAUCAUCAUUCAGAAAUCAGGAGAUUUCAUCUAAAACUGUGUAUAUCCACUUUUCUUGAAAAAUCGGAGGCUCUGCAAACAAUGGCUGCUCUUUCUCACAUUGUUAAGUAUUGGUUGGGUGUGAUUGGCAGCUACCCAGAGAGAGAAUACGAGCUCUCCAGUUUGCCCCAGUCCCCACCCCUCCCCAUUGCCUCUCUGCUUCUGAAGCCUACCUCGUGAAUGUGAGGACACCUGCCUGUGGGCAUGUGAGGUUGUGACUCUUGCUUUAAACCCUGCAUGCAUGACAGCUUCAGAAAAAGGAAAACAAAAAACAAAAUCAGAGGCUUGGACUGUUUGUCCCUCUUUACACAUUUUCUGCACCCUUUACCCCCUGCCUCUGGCAACCACAAAUCUCAUCUCUUUACCAUGAAUUUGGUUUCUUCAGAUUCCACAUCUAAGGGACAUCAUACAGUAUUUGUCUUUCUCUGACAUAUUUCACUUAGCAUAAUGCCCUCAAGGUCCGUCCGCGUUGCCUUCUUUUGUUUGUUUGUUUAACCCAGUUUGAGUUUCCUUUCUGUCACUUGCAACCAAGAGUCCUGACUUGGUUGACUUUCUGCCACUCAGCUAGACUCGGAUCACCUCUUACGUGAAAAUGAAUUCCCCCGCUCGCUGAUACACCUGGUGCAGCCUCUCUUUCCAGGACGAGCUUUAGGUCUGCACGCUGGAGGCAAGGAGGAGCCAGACGUGCCCAGCAGGGCCCUGCUCAUAAUCCCCUCAGAAAGGUUAAGGACUAAUUUCUGCAGCAUCAAAGCAGAGACGGCAGCCUAAUGUGUCAGAUUCUGCUGGAGGAGAUUCCUCCGCGGGCGGAGCAGCGAGCUUUCGGGCGGCAAACCGCCCUCCCGUAAGAGGUCACUGUGCACGCAGACCUGCCUGGACAGGCUGCCACUCACUUCAACACUGGUCUUUUCAGGCCCUGAAAAGGAUUCCUUUAUUCAAGACUUUUGAAGGAAGACACACCCUUUUCUUCCUGGCUGUGCCCUUAUUUGGAUUCAGUCCCUCGGCAGCUUCACAGAUGGAGAAGCACGUUGUUCCUGCGACUCGGCCCGGCUCUGCUGGAGAUGGACCAAGAGAGACAGCGGGUGUGCUCCAGAAUAGCCCUUAAUGACCAAGUCCGCGGUCCACAUCGGUCAGAGGCCUGAAGCAAGUCCCAGCAUUGCAAAGGAGUGGCCCGGAGUCGAGCCCAGCCCACAGUCCCUGUUCGGUCCACAAAGUCUCCCUUCUGUGUCUAAAUUUGAAGCCAGCAUCUAAAAGACGUGAGAUCUCACACAACAAUCUGCAUUCCUGCUCUCUCAUAAAGCGAAGACCUGGCACCAUGGAGCCCACAUGCCCAGGUGGAGCCCCUGGGUGGAGCCGAGGAGUGGCUGCCAGCCUUCCAGGCAGCGGGUGCGCACCACGUGGCCACGUCCCCCCUCGGCCUGCCUCAUCUUCCUGCCUGGCCCCCAUAGGAAUUUGGGCUUGUGGUCCAGAGGGAGCCCAUUCCAAACUGGUCUUGUCCUCAUCUCCCAGACCCACCAGGCUCAGUCACGCUUCUCUCACCUCCAGGGCCUUGGCAUGUGCACCCCGGCCUGCACUGCUCGCCCCCCGGAGCCUUCCAUGGCCCAGACAGUUUUCUGCUUAAAUAUCAUCUCCUUGGCAUGACUCUCUCUUCUUUUCUUCUUUCCCUUUUUUCUUUCAUUGUUUCCUGAUCUUUUGGUCUUCUUUACUCUUUCCUUCUUUCUCUCUCUCCUUUUUCUCUCUCCUUCUCCCCUCCUACCCCCCUCCCUCCCUUCUUCCUAUUUUCUUCUCCUCAGCAUCAUUAUCAGAGGCACUAAAACUGUACAUUUCCAUUCGUGUUACCCCAUGGAGGAGACACUCAAUCAUCCCCUUCUGCCCACUCACAUUUGUCUUUCUGACUAAUAAAACCAACAAAUUCCAUUUUUACAAAGGAAAGGUGCCUUUGCAAAGAGAUCAUCUGCUUUUGUCUGAAGCAUCGCCAACUUCCAUUGGCUCCCAGAGCCUCUGCACGCCCCAGACCCUGAGGUCAGGACCCCAGCAGAAAGGAGAACUUCUGGAGACUUCCAAAGCCUGCAAUGAGGCAAAGGACAUUAAUAUCUACAGUCACCUUCAUGCCACACCCCCUUCCCCCAAACACACAAGCCCCUCUCCCCAACACACACACCCAAAGAAAAAUGAUGCUCCACGCACCCCCUCUGUGUAUUGUUUUCUCUCUAAAAAUAGUAUCUGGGGCUCCCAGCGGCUCUCCUGUUCUCACCCCAGGAGAUGGGAGGACCCACAGGCUUGGCAUGGAUGAGGGUGGCAGGAGAGGGGGUGCCCAAAAGUGAAACGGUGGGGAGUAGGGGGAACCCCCUUUUCAACAGAGCCCUGCUUAUUUCACUCUUAUGAAAGCGUGAGUGCUCGCCUCGCCAUCUAACCUCAGGCCAGAGCGUGCAAGCGGCCCUCUCGCUCAGCCACACUCUCCCCUCUCCUGACGCGCACACACUUUGCUGCCACUGAGGCAGAACAAACUUAAGAAACUGUGUCCACAGCAGGGCGGGCUUGCCUGGACCAUAGGGAUGUCAACGUGCAGGUCUGAAUUCUCCAAACGCUGCCGGGAAACCAACACAAUGGGCUCAGCUCCCUCCACGUGUUGCAGCCUGCCUGCAAGGAUGGCAAACUCCGACUUUCUUUUCCAACUUUUCAUCUAAAGCAAGGAAAGGAAAAGGCGAAAGCAGCCCACCAGCCCGACAUGGUCUCCUCGCACAGGCUCCGAGGCUCACACGCUCCUUGGAGGUGGGCUGGUGGGCCCUGAGCUGUGCACUCCUGCUCCUCAGAGGCGCCCACCCACCCGGGGGCUCCAGGGCUGGGUCCGCCCAUCUGCUCCCUGGCCGGGCACACGCCAGAACGACUCCCGGUGAGUCAUCACCCUUGGAGGUUCAAAGACGUGCCUCGCAUGAGUCCACCCGAGCUUCCACAGCACCAAACAGGAGCUGCGGUGACAGCGGUCCAGUGAGCGCGGGGAGCCGAAAGGGCCGUCAGCAGUGUCCUGGGCGCCUGACGGGUGGGGGCACGACACGUCCAUGUCAUUUCCUUGGACUGCUGCUGACCCACCUCAGUGUAGUGGGCUGCAUAGUGCCCCCCCCCCCAAAUUCAUGUCCACCUGGGACCUCAGAACGUGGCCUUAUUUGGAAACAGGGUGUUUGCAGAUACAGUUAAGCUAAGGAUAGAAAUAGGAUUAUCUUGGAUUAGGCUCGGCCCUAAACCCAAGGAGGCUGUCCUUAUAAGAGACAGAAGAGGUCACACAGAGACACACAGAGGGGAAGGCCGUGUGAAGACAGAGGCAGACUGGAGAGAUGCGGCCACAAGCCAAGGAACUCCAGGGAAGGCUGGCAACCCCCGCAAGCUGGGGGAGGAGUAUGGGCUGUUUCCCCCUCAGAGUCUCCAGAAAGAACCGACACUGCCAGCACCUUAAUUUUUGACUUCUGGCCUCCAGGACUUUGAGAGAAUAAGUUUCUGCUGCUUUAAGCACCCGGUUAGCGGCAACUUGUUACGGCAGCCACACGACACUGAUAUACUCAGGGAGCAAAAGAACAUUCCUCCAUAUUUAUCUGUGGGGCAAAACGCCCUUUUAGGGGGUGGAUGAGGGUCAGCAAGCCUAGGUCUAGAAAUAGUUCAAUAAUUUGGCAUCUCACUGUCCUCCUCGUCACCAUGAUAACGAUCACCAACAUCAUUACCAUCACCAUUGCCAUCAUCACCGUCACCACCAUCAUCACCAUUGCCAUCAUCACCAUCACCACCAUCAUCCCAUCGUCAUCACCGUCACCAUCCCCAUUACCAUCAUCACCAUCAUCAUCACCACCACCACUGCCAUCACCAUCACCAUCAUCACCACCAUCAUCAUCACCAUCACCACCAUCAUCACCAUUGCCAGCAUCACCAUCAGCCCAUCACCAUCACCGCCAUCAUCCCAUCAUCACCAUCGCAGGCGUCAUCUAGUGAGCAUGUACUACAUGCUGUGUGCUAGGUACUAUACAUCCUUUCUCCAAUCUUCCCAAUAAUGAUACAGGGAGGCUUUAAAUGCUUUCAUUUUCCAGAUAGGAAACUAAGACCUGAGAGAUUAAAUGACUUGCCCUGGAAUUCUGAGCCCAGACAGCCAAAUCGGCACUCCACACGGUUACUAGCUGUGUGCCCUUUGGCAGAUUCCUUACCUGGCUCAUCCUCAAAUCCCACACAGAGGUGCCCACUUGACAGAGUUCUCACGGGGGGAAUGAGAUGAUGGAUAUAAAGCACUUGGCCCCCCAUAUAUGAUGCUCUUGCUGUUGUCAUGCUCUUGCCCCAUCAGCUGCCAGAGGAGGAAGGGGGCCUCUUCGUCUCCAACCCCAGCCACAUUAUCAACUCCCUGCCCGGCCCUGGAAAUAUCAGAAUGGCAGGAACAGGAGCUAUAAGGCCCCCUAGGAAACCUCCCUAGCUCGCCCACAGACAUCCCACAGUGCCCCCUGCGGCCCCUUCAAAACCGAAAUCCAAGCAAGUCCCAUACCCCAGGACAGGACUGGCCACAUAAUUUGCAGUGCCAAGUGCAAAUGUUAAAAACUUAUUAAGAAUUUCAGGACACUGACACAGAGCAUUAAGUCAAGCACAGGCCUUCUUGAGCACAGGGCCCUGUGUGCAGCCAGCCCUGCCCAAGGGCCCUGCUGACCUUCAGGCUCACUCACCCGGGCCCUUUUCUGUGCUCCAUGUAUUGGGGUGACACCUGCUUUCUCCCUGCGACCCCCUCCCCAGGCUGGAGGUCUGCGCUGUUGAGCGCCCUGACGUCGGGGUGAAAACGAAUCUCCUGAGGGGUUGGGAGCAGAGCUCUGGCACGUAGUCAGGCUGUGGGAGCUGGCACAAGGGUAGGACCACUGAUGAGACCACAAAACAUCAGCCAGCCCGCCACACACCCCACUGAAAAAUGUAAGUCAACACAGACCCGGCCCUUUCUGCCUGGGGCUUCAAGCCGCAGCCUGCCUAAUCCUGGGUUUGAUCUCGUCUGAUUAACCUGAUCUGAUGCACAGAAAGGGACAGUGGGUGAACCCCAGCCAUGCCCCUGAUUAAGCUUUCUCUGGGAGCUGUAUGAAGAAGUAGCCAACAUUGGUUCUGCAGUUUAACUUCCACAAGGAGCGCGGCUGUCAGGCAGGCACAGAGAAGGGCAGGUGGCCUGGGGACGCUGGCGAGCAAGGACAGGCUCCGGGCCCUAGAAGAUCAGCAACAGAGUCAGGCAGGGGGGUACCAUUUGUACUACACAGAUAAAUUGCAAUUUAUUGCAUCCCUUCCAUUUAUCCAGGAUUUGGCUAAGGCAGGAGCUGGCAAACUUUUUCUGUAAAGAGCUCGCUAGUAAAUAUUUUAGGCUUCGCGAGUCAUAUGGUCUGUGGCAGCUACUCAGCUCUGCCUUUAUACGCACACAGUCUGCAGUGCUGCAGACAGAGUGUAAAUGAAUGUGUGUGGCUGGGCUCCAAUAACACUUUAUUCACAAAAGCAGGUGGCUGGUAGCUUUGUCCCACAGGCUGCAGUAUCCCAACCCCUGGACUGUGAUUUCAUACGUACGUCAUUUAAUCACCUCCCCACAGUUGCUCCCACCUCCAGGCCUCACUAAUGCCCACCCUUGCCUCCCCCAACAAGUCUAUUUGCUCACUGUGGUGAACUCAGCACCUAGAAAAAUAGAUGCUCAAUAAGGAUUGAUUAAAUGAAGUAAGUAUUUCAUCCCCAGCUAGCAGAUAAAAAACACUGAGUUUUACAGAGAAGUAACUCACCUCAGGUUACAAAGCUAGAAAAAGAAAGACCUAGCUCUUGAGAGAUUUUGCUCAGGGAAUUUGUUGUGUAAAACACAGGGCUUGCAAAUACAAAUGCUUACAGAGGUCAAAUGGGUAAUGGGAAUGAAUGAAGUGGGUUAGGGGUAAGGUGAUAGGGAGGGGUGGAGACUGUGGCAAACUGGAGCAUGACAUUCUGCCUAAAGGGGUUGCUGUUCCUCAGCUCCAGCCAAUUGUGGCCAUGUGCGACUCUGGGGCCAGCAGGGCCAGAUCUUCUGGUUUUCCUAGAGAAGCCGGAAAUUCGUGCUUUCAUGUGAAAUAUUCCAGUUCUUAAACGUUGGCAAGCAUUUGUUUUUCUUUUUUCCCAAACUCCAUGCUGCCAAAGAGAGCAUGCCAUCGUUUUGUGGCCUCCGGCUUAAAACUAUUAAACACUUGAAAAGUUUUGUCCGUGAACCUGUCUUCUUCAGUGCACCAGUUGGUCAAGCUACACAGCCAGCCCUUGGAUUGCCGGAUGCACGGCAUUAGAAAUUGGCAGCAAGACUGAGCCACUUGCUCCAGAACAUUCCCCAACCCUAAUUUCUUAACAUGUAGAAAAAUCAGAACCAAAGUCAUGUUCUGGUUACGGAAACAAGUUUCCUUUUCUAAUUUUUAACAUUCUCCUGAAAAGGCAAAUGUGGUCCCUGAAGAUGUGGAAAUCCCUGAAAUCCCCUGUCUUUCCACGAAGAUCAGGGCCCACACCUACGUGGGGCUAACCCCACAAGAAGAUCCUGGGUGCCUCCCCAUUUGUCCAAGGGCGAAUACUUUCUCCUGGGUGGUGCACAUCUGUGGUUUAUUUCUGCCCAAUUCUCCUCCCCACUCUGGUAAAGGACUCCCUCCUGUCUUUGGGGAGUUGCCCCUCCUCCCACGUUGUUCUGGUUGGGCUGUCAAUCAUACACUGCCCCACCACCCCAGGCCUGGCCAAUCACAGUAUUCCAUCUCCCUGGCCAUUCUGAUUGGCCUAAGCAGAUGCACAUGAUCCAGGCUGGACCAAUCAGAGCCCUCCCAUAGGAUUUUAUAGGCAGAUCCUGAGAAAUCUAAGCUUUCUACUGCCUCUGUGCUUGCUUGUGUGUAAGCCUGGUUGUGUCAAUGUCCAUGACCCUCCCCACCUUUGCACAGCUACACAAAGGAAGUCCUUCUGUGAAGAACAGCAAGAGGCCAGAUAGAGAGAGAGAAAGAGAGAGGAGGCGGAAAAAAGAGAGUUCUGAUGACAACAUAUGAAUCUAUCCUUGUGCUUCCCAAUUCUGUGAGCCAAACAGUGUCCUUUUUUGGCUUUAACUAGUUUUGAUUGGGGUUUGGUCCCAGAAACCAAAAAACUGUGUCUCCUAAAUGCCCCAUUGGUGUUAAUGAUAGCCUAACUCUAGCCCACUCCUCUGAGCAAGCUUAAGAUCAAAGAAGUCAAUUCCUUCCAGAAAUCAGUCUCACAGGAAGAAUUAAAGAGAGAUGGCCAAUUGGCUGGGUCCCCCUUCAGCAUUUUAAGACUACCAGUACUUCAUAAACAUGUCUGCCAAAUUACUCCUAAUUGAAGAGAAAAAGCAAACAAGUUAUCUGAGAGUCUGGAUGAGUUGGCUGGAGGAGGCUUCCCAUUUUUUUGAAGUCCUGUGUUUUAACUUAAAAAUCUAUGAAGUUUG
Molecule: long non-coding RNA, 12094 nt
Filed under: Equus caballus (horse)
Lineage: Eukaryota; Metazoa; Chordata; Mammalia; Perissodactyla; Equidae
Description: lncRNA (ENSECAG00000051495.1)
Source: RNAcentral